AUUGAACGCUGGCGGCAUGCUUUACACAUGCAAGUCGAACGGCAGCACGGGGGCAACCCUGGUGGCGAGUGGCGAACGGGUGAGUAAUGCAUCGGAACGUACCGUGUAAUGGGGGAUAACGUAGCGAAAGUUACGCUAAUACCGCAUAAGCCCUGAGGGGGAAAGUGGGGCCGCAAGGCCUCACGCGAAUGGAGCGGCCGAUGUCAGAUUAGCUAGUGGUGGGGUAAAGGCCCACCAAGGCGACGAUCUGUAGCGGGUCUGAGAGGAUGAUCCGCCACACUGGGACUGAGACACGGCCCAGACUCCUACGGGAGGCAGCAGUGGGGAAUUUUGGACAAU
RNAcentral lists this ribosomal RNA (339 nucleotides) under uncultured bacterium. Its description in RNAcentral is "bacterial SSU rRNA". It matches the Rfam family "Bacterial small subunit ribosomal RNA", at positions 29 to 372 of the family's 1533-position model. The record is from RNAcentral.